Molecule: ribosomal RNA, 494 nt
Filed under: uncultured bacterium
Lineage: Bacteria
Description: partial 16S ribosomal RNA
Rfam family: Bacterial small subunit ribosomal RNA
Source: RNAcentral
GACGAACGCUGGCGGCGUGCUUAACACAUGCAAGUCGAACGGUGAAGCGCCUUCCUUUUUGGUGGGUGUGGAUGAGUGGCGAACGGGUGAGUAACACGUGAGUAACCUGCCCCCUUCUUCUGGAUAACCGCAUGAAAGUGUGGCUAAUACGGGAUAUUCUGGGUCUGUCGCAUGAUGGGUCCGGGAAAGAUAUUGUUUCGGUGGGGGAUGGGCUCGCGGCCUAUCAGCUUGUUGGUGGGGUGAUGGCCUACCAAGGCGGUGACGGGUAGCCGGCCUGAGAGGGUGGACGGUCACACUGGGACUGAGACACGGCCCAGACUCCUACGGGAGGCAGCAGUGGGGAAUAUUGCACAAUGGGCGCAAGCCUGAUGCAGCGACGCCGCGUGAGGGAUGGAGGCCUUCGGGUUGUGAACCUCUUUCGCCAGUGAAGCAGGCCUGCCUCGUUUGUGGGUGGGUUGACGGUGGCUGGAUAAGAAGCGCCGGCUAACUACGUG